Molecule: non-coding RNA, 22 nt
Filed under: Arabidopsis thaliana (thale cress)
Lineage: Eukaryota; Viridiplantae; Streptophyta; Magnoliopsida; Brassicales; Brassicaceae
Source: RNAcentral
GGCCAAGUGUGAGUCUGAUGUC